GAAGCCUGCAAAGUCUCUCAGUCUCAGUUAUGAGUCUGAAGUCAUCGUUACUACUGCAAAAGAACCUUCCCUGCCGCACAGGUCAGGGACAUCAACAUGGUUUCCCGAGACAGCUCGGGUUACAGACAUCAACAUGGUUUCCGGCGGCAGCACAGGUCACAGAAGUCUUUCAAGGAGACUUUACUCAGAAAACGAACCAUUCUUCAUCCUGGAUGUGUUGCUGUUGCUGAGAACCAGGGUGAUCUCGCGGUUGGGCAGCAUGUCCAGGGGAGGACCUGCACGAGCUCCAGGCUGCUGUACACCACCUUGCCCUCCACACCAGCCACCCUGCUGAUACCUCAGCACAUGGAUAUGUUGUUCCAAGCCGCAGCAGCCAUAUUGGAUUGCAAGGCCGUCUUAACGGCGUGACUCAGUACUAAAACUGGACGGAUAACAAAAGCAGAGAACCUUGGGUCCUAGAGGAACAGGCACAGCCAUAUCCUGUUCUAGCUACUCCAGAUAGGUUUGGGGAGGAAAAGGUAGAAAUGAUCAUUACAUUCUGAAGCCACCAGUGUCCGACCUAUUUCCAGAAGCCAAAAAAUUCCUGAGGAGACCAUCCAUCAAAUGAAUAAACCCAGAUCCUGCCACCUUGCAACUUCCUGAGGAGGACACAGAGGACCCAGGGAAGGAAAAACCACCAGGAAUCAUCAAUCCACCUGCAUCCUAGGAACAGCUGUCCUAGGAAUGCAGGUAGUGAAUGAUUCAUAGUUUCCAGUGAAAGGCUCAUACUCUUCAUGACAAAAGACAUCUUCUGUUACUGUUCUAAAACAAGUUUAGCAUCAACCAGAUCAUUAUUUUUAAACAAGUGUGUGCAUGCAAAUGCAUGUUUGAAUGUAUGUCCAGGUGCACAUGCCCACAUGCAUGCAGCAUGUAUUUAGAGCCAGAGGAUGACCUCAGGUGUCAUCCCUCAGAAAAGCAGCCCACCUCCUUUGGAGGCAGCUUCUUGCAUUGAUCUGGAGUUCCUGUUAGGCUGCCCAGCUGGCUAGCAGGCCCUAAGGCUCCUCCUGCCUCUGCCUCCAGCCCUAGGAUUGUGUGUGUGCUGGAAGUCUGGCAUUUCUACAAGGAUUCUGAGAUGGACCCCAGCCUCUAUGAUGUAUACCAUGAAGUUUGCAGCUUUUUGUACAUGAAAUCAGCUUGGUUUAAAUGGAAGUGAAAGGUGACAUUAAAUGAUCAUGGUGUGUGCCAGGU
Molecule: long non-coding RNA, 1227 nt
Organism: Peromyscus californicus insignis
Lineage: Eukaryota; Metazoa; Chordata; Mammalia; Rodentia; Cricetidae
Exons: 2
Source: RefSeq, a predicted model, not a curated record